UUGUGCCCGCCUAUGAAAGAACAAACGAAGACGUUGUUUUGCGUCGUAGACGUAAGCUUAUAGUGUAUGCUUGUUGUUUAUGCUGAUAGUCUAUGCUCUCAGCUUUCACUAAGACGGUGGUCACGCUCCAGUAUUCAUCCACGGCCCCUGUGUUGUAUUUCCUAUCGGGCUGCUUCUGCAGUCUUGAGAUUGCGUCCCGUCAGGUCAUUAACUCCACCAAGGGAAGACUGAAGCUGCUUUCUAGCAGCUGUCGGACGAUGCAUCUCGUUUUCGUUUCUAAAAGCUUUUCAGCUUGAACCGAUAAACAGCAACGCACAGCGAUUCACAGGUCGUCCAUUCAGCGGCGAGCUGUUCCCGAGCAUAAGCGUUGUUGCUGGCGGACGUAAUUGCUGCAGAUUGUAAUGCAACGUGGAUGGGCGACUUCACGAGAGCUGUCAGAGGAUGAAAAGAAGCCGCCUUCGUGGGAACAUUUCUCGAUACGAAAACGGUUAUUUAGCAGGCUCUUCGCAUUUCAAGGGUUAUAUCAGACUGGACGAGGGAGAGAAUUAUUGUAGCGGAAGACAAAAAAGAUUGAAGAGUAUGUGGAUGUCAAAUCAAUUAACCUCAAGACAUCAUCACGCACACACACAUCAUGGUCAGGAAUGAUGUGCUUCUUUAUAAGCACCUGUUACUACACGGCACUCGCUCAUUUACAUGCAUGUUCUUCACCGCCACAGGAUGUCAUAAAUAAACCAGGACUACGUUA
This is a long non-coding RNA of Ornithodoros turicata, 745 nucleotides long. RefSeq lists it as uncharacterized. The record is from RefSeq and is a predicted model, not a curated record. The transcript is spliced from 3 exons. NCBI's taxonomy places the organism in Eukaryota, Metazoa, Arthropoda, Arachnida, Ixodida, Argasidae.